ACUAGCUAACUGGAUCAUGAGUGUGUCACUUGUGAUAAGGUAAAGGAAAAAUUAUGAUGUCACUUUACUAUUAGUGUUGUCCAAAGCUGGUGCCAGAAGACUCGGUAAGGCCAGAGACGCAAGCGUUAGUCAUCCUGAUCAGGCGUAAAGGGUUUGUAGGCAGCUUUAAAUUAAUUAAAGAUAGAAUCAUAUAGAGGUCACAGUCAGAUAAUUCUUAGAGUAGGGUUGAUAUCUGUAGAUACUAAGAGGAAUACUUAUUAGCGAAGGCACUUUUCCAAAUUAUGAUUGACGCUGAGAAACGAAGGGGAGGAUAGAUAAUAGGAUUAGAUACCCUGGUAUUCCUCUCUGUCAACGAUGAAUGGUAGUUGCUAGUAUACUAUAUUAGUGGCGAUGCUAACGCGUUAACCAUUCCGCCUUGUGAGUACGAUUGCAAAAUUGAAAACAAAAAAAUUAGUCGGUUUCGGAGCAAACGAAGUGAAGCAUGUUAUUUAAUUC
Molecule: ribosomal RNA, 495 nt
Filed under: Ileodictyon sp. OSC122734
Lineage: Eukaryota; Fungi; Basidiomycota; Agaricomycetes; Phallales; Phallaceae
Description: SSU rRNA
Rfam family: Bacterial small subunit ribosomal RNA
Source: RNAcentral